GACGAACGCUGGCGGCAGGCUUAACACAUGCAAGUCGAACGCAUCGCAAGAUGAGUGGCAGACGGGUGAGUAACGCGUGGGAACGUACCCUUUACUACGGAAUAACUCAGGGAAACUUGUGCUAAUACCGUAUGUGCCCUUCGGGGAAAGAUUAUCGGUAAAGGAUCGCCCGCGUUGGAUUAGCUAGUUGGUGGGGUAAAGGCCUACCAAGGCGACGAUCCAUAGCUGGUCUGAGAGGAUGAUCAGCCACAUUGGGACUGAGACACGGCCCAAACUCCUACGGGAGGCAGCAGUGGGAAUAUUGGACAAUGGGCGCAAGCCUGAUCCAGCCAUGCCGCGUGAGUGAUGAAGGCCCUAGGGUUGUAAAGCUCUUUCACCGGUGAAGAUAAUGACGGUAAACCGGAGAAGAAGCCCCGGCUAACUUCGUGCCAGCAGCCGCGGUAAUACGAAGGGGCUAGCGUUGUUCGGAAUUACUGGCGUAAAGCGCACGUAGGCGGGUAUUUAAGUCAGGGGUGAAAUCCCGGAGCUCAACUCCGGAACUGCCUUUGAUACUGGGUACCUAGAGUAUGGAAGAGGU
RNAcentral lists this ribosomal RNA (577 nucleotides) under uncultured bacterium. RNAcentral describes it as "bacterial SSU rRNA". It matches the Rfam family "Bacterial small subunit ribosomal RNA", at positions 28 to 658 of the family's 1533-position model. The record is from RNAcentral.